Molecule: ribosomal RNA, 484 nt
Filed under: uncultured bacterium
Lineage: Bacteria
Description: partial 16S ribosomal RNA
Rfam family: Bacterial small subunit ribosomal RNA
Source: RNAcentral
GAUGAACGCUGGCGGCGGGCCUAAUACAUGCAAGUCGAGCGGACGGAGGGGGCUCUUUCCCCGCUUCCGUGGGCGGCGGGCGGGUAAGUCCCACGAAUAUGACCGGCAUAUGGGGCUGACAUCCCGUAAGGGGCGCGGAUAUCGCACACGUUAAGAGGGUGAAACGGAGGGGUCAUUGGAGCCCACGGGUUUUGAUGACCCUAGGUCGGAUUAGCUAGUUGGUGGGGUAAAGGCCUACCAAGGCGACGAUCCGUAACUGGUCUGAGAGGAUGAUCAGUCACACUGGAACUGAGACACGGUCCAGACUCCUACGGGAGGCAGCAGUGGGGAAUAUUGGACAAUGGGCGAAAGCCUGAUCCAGCCAUGCCGCGUGUGUGAAGAAGGUCUUCGGAUUGUAAAGCACUUUAAGUUGGGAGGAAGGGCAGUAAGUUAAUACCUUGCUGUUUUGACGUUACCAACAGAAUAAGCACCGGCUAACUUCGUG